UUGAUCCUGCCAGUAGUCAUAUGCUUGUCUCAAAGAUUAAGCCAUGCAUGUCUCAGUACAAGCCACAUUAAGGUGAAACCGCGAAAGGCUCAUUAAAUCAGUUAUGGUUCCUUAGAUCGUACCCACAUUUACUUGGAUAACUGUGGUAAUUCUAGAGCUAAUACAUGCAAACAGAGUUCCGACCGGAGACGGGAGGAAUGCUUUUAUUAGAUCAAAACCAAUCGGCGGCGGUUGCGUUCGCGCUGCCGUUCGCCGCUCAACCUGGUGACUCUGAAUAACUUUCGGCUGAUCGCACGGUCUAGCACCGGCGACGCAUCUUUCAAAUGUCUGCCUUAUCAACUGUCGAUGGUAGGUUCUGCGCCUACCAUGGUCGUAACGGGUAACGGGGAAUCAGGGUUCGAUUCCGGAGAGGGAGCCUGAGAAACGGCUACCACAUCCAAGGAAGGCAGCAGGCGCGCAAAUUACCCACUCCCGGCACGGGGAGGUAGUGACGAAAAAUAACGAUACGGGACUCAUCCGAGGCCCCGUAAUCGGAAUGAGUACACUUUAAAUCCUUUAACGAGGAUCAAUUGGAGGGCAAGUCUGGUGCCAGCAGCCGCGGUAAUUCCAGCUCCAAUAGCGUAUAUU
This 627-nucleotide ribosomal RNA is filed under the name Copelatus sp. MB6559. Its description in RNAcentral is "SSU rRNA". It matches the Rfam family "Eukaryotic small subunit ribosomal RNA", at positions 8 to 605 of the family's 1831-position model. RNAcentral also lists the same sequence under 1 other name. The record is from RNAcentral. Lineage: Eukaryota; Metazoa; Arthropoda; Insecta; Coleoptera; Dytiscidae.